AUGAACGCUGGCGGCGUGCCUAAUACAUGCAAGUCGAGCGAACAGAUGAGGAGCUUGCUCCUCUGACGUUAGCGGCGGACGGGUGAGUAACACGUGGAUAACCUACCUAUAAGACUGGGAUAACUUCGGGAAACCGGAGCUAAUACCGGAUAAUAUAUUGAACCGCAUGGUUCAAUAGUGAAAGACGGUUUUGCUGUCACUUAUAGAUGGAUCCGCGCCGCAUUAGCUAGUUGGUAAGGUAACGGCUUACCAAGGCGACGAUGCGUAGCCGACCUGAGAGGGUGAUCGGCCACACUGGAACUGAGACACGGUCCAGACUCCUACGGGAGGCAGCAGUAGGGAAUCUUCCGCAAUGGGCGCAAGCUUGACGGAGCAACGCCGCGUGAGUGAUGAAGGUCUUCGGAUCGUAAAACUCUGUUAUUAGGGAAGAACAAAUGUGUAAGUAACUAUGCACGUCUUGACGGUACCCAAUCAGAAAGCCACGGCUAACUACGUG
Molecule: ribosomal RNA, 496 nt
Filed under: uncultured bacterium
Lineage: Bacteria
Description: partial 16S ribosomal RNA
Rfam family: Bacterial small subunit ribosomal RNA
Source: RNAcentral